UACAGGGGGGGCAAGCGUUGUUCGGAAUUACUGGGCGUAAAGGGCUCGUAGGUGGCCAACUAAGUCAGACGUGAAAUCCCUCAGCUUAACUGGGGAACUGCGUCUGAUACUGGAUGGCUUGAGUUUGGGAGAGGGAUGCGGAAUUCCAGGUGUAGCGGUGAAAUGCGUAGAUAUCUGGAGGAACACCGGUGGCGAAGGCAGUGUCCUGGCGAGUGACUGACGCUGAGGUGCGAAAGCCAGGGGAGCGAACGGG
This 253-nucleotide ribosomal RNA is filed under the name uncultured bacterium. Its description in RNAcentral is "partial 16S ribosomal RNA". It matches the Rfam family "Bacterial small subunit ribosomal RNA", at positions 524 to 776 of the family's 1533-position model. The record is from RNAcentral.